Long non-coding RNA from Sus scrofa (pig), 943 nucleotides. RefSeq lists it as uncharacterized. The record is from RefSeq and is a predicted model, not a curated record. NCBI's taxonomy places the organism in Eukaryota, Metazoa, Chordata, Mammalia, Artiodactyla, Suidae.
CUGAUGGGCUUUAAAGCUUGAUAUUUUGAGGGCCAGUCUCUCAGGCACCAGUCUUAAAAGUUGGGGCAUCUCAUGUGGGGUAUAAUCUCUUUGCUCCUCAGAGGGAAGCUCCAGGUUUUGAGUUCCUUCUGGAUUAAGAUUGCCUGCUGAGGGUGCUGUUUAUGGCCAGAUGGUGUUUCAGCCUUUCUUAACUGCUUUGAUGUAGUUUCCCUCUCAUUUGCCUGAUGUCCAGGGGUCAUUCCACCAGUUUUUAGUUUUUUUCCAGAGGAAAUUAUUCCAUUCUGUAUACUUGGUGUGUCCGUGGGAGGAGGCGAGUUUGGGAUCUCCCCCCAACAUCGGCACCUUAAAAUGGAACCUCUAAAAACUCUUCAAGGUCAAUGGAAACAGAGCAUCUGAAUCAACAAACUUAGAAGAACCAAGCAGAGAUACCUGUACGGAGAGCUCAGAAGGCAUUUCCAUAGGCUCAUUGUCAAGUGAAUGUUAAAGCCCCCAUUCACUGGGAAGCAAAGAAUCCUUACAUUUAUUUGUCAUAUAUCCUUGGAUUCCACUUGGCUGUGACUUUCUCAGAGCGCUGGUCAGUUCCGUUAUCUUGCUUUUGAUUCAUGGAAAUUCUGAACAGUGAUGUGAGAAUGACUACGAUUUGAAGUAUGUGUUAAAUACAGCAAUACGACAUCACAAGGAGCUACAUGGAGAUCGGACUUAAGUAGACAUUUGAGGAAUACAUAAGUUAAAUAUAGAGGAAGGGCAACUCCUCAGUCAGGAGCAUGGCAAGAGCAAAGGUGGAGGUGGAGUUCCCGUAUCUCUUUUAAGGACAAGUGGACAAGAGACUGGAUAUAGUUCCCUGUGCUAUAUGGAUUGUUUUGGGGCUCCUGCAUAAGAGAAAUAUUAAAAAGGUGAAAUGGUAGCACUGCAAUAUGAGGGGAGAAAUAGAGAAAAAAUGAUU